UACGAACCGUCCAAACGUUACUCGGAAUCACUGGGCUUAAAGGGUGCGUAGGCCGCGCGGUGGGUGGGAUGUGAAAUCCCCCGGCUCAACCGGGGAAUAGCGUCCCAAACCGCCGUGCUCGAGGGAGACAGAGGUGAGCGGAACUGAUGGUGGAGCGGUGAAAUGCGUUGAUAUCAUCAGGAACACCAGUGGCGAAGGCGGCUCACUGGGUCUUUCCUAACGCUGAGGCACGAAAGCUAGGGGAGCGAACGGG
This 253-nucleotide ribosomal RNA is filed under the name uncultured bacterium. RNAcentral describes it as "partial 16S ribosomal RNA". It matches the Rfam family "Bacterial small subunit ribosomal RNA", at positions 524 to 776 of the family's 1533-position model. The record is from RNAcentral.